This 231-nucleotide long non-coding RNA is filed under the name Glycine max (soybean). Its description in RNAcentral is "long non-coding RNA (GMAX_LNC001820)". The record is from RNAcentral. Lineage: Eukaryota; Viridiplantae; Streptophyta; Magnoliopsida; Fabales; Fabaceae.
UAAGACACUAAUUUCGUUCGAGCGGAACAUCAUUCGACCGAUCAAUAUCUUGACCAGCGGAACCUGUCAUUCAGAAAGAAAGAAAAGGCAUCAAAAGCAUCAACAAAACUUCAGUGUCUUGAAAGCGAUAAAGUGGGACAACCACGACAUUUCCCCAUGCCAUCGAACUUGAUCGCCCCCCGCCCAGCAGAGAAGAAUCUUGUGCGUUGCCGGGCUUGCAUGUCUCCGGAU